CCUGCAGAAGUAGAUUGAUAAAUGUUAUGGGUUUUAUGGAGUGUCCCAUCGUCUUCUUCUAGCUCUGGAACUUUAAUGUCUUCCGAUUGACAUAGCUCUGCACACUGCUGAGUUAGUUGAUUUGUAGCUAUAGACUUCAGUUUAUCUUCAUUAGUCUUUAGCUUUUCUAUCUCAUUACCCAUACUGUCCACUUUCAUUGAAAGCGUAGUUAGGGUGUUAAGUAUUUUU
RNAcentral lists this long non-coding RNA (228 nucleotides) under Capsicum annuum. RNAcentral's name for it is "long non-coding RNA (CANN_LNC005176)". The record is from RNAcentral. Lineage: Eukaryota; Viridiplantae; Streptophyta; Magnoliopsida; Solanales; Solanaceae.